RNAcentral lists this ribosomal RNA (1278 nucleotides) under metagenome. RNAcentral's name for it is "bacterial SSU rRNA". It matches the Rfam family "Bacterial small subunit ribosomal RNA", at positions 184 to 1441 of the family's 1533-position model. The record is from RNAcentral.
AGCUUCGGAUUUCAGAAUUAAAGGUGGCCCCUACAUGUAAGCUACUGUUUGGAGAUGAGCCCGCGUACCAUUAGCUUGUUGGUAGGGUAAUGGCCUACCAAGGCUACGAUGGUUAGCUGGUCUGAGAGGAUGAUCAGCCACACUGGAACUGACACACGGUCCAGACUCCUACGGGAGGCAGCAGUGAGGAAUUUUGCGCAAUGGGGGAAACCCUGACGCAGCAACGCCGCGUGAGUGAUGAAGGCUUUAGGGUCGUAAAGCUCUGUCAAGUGGGAAGAAACUGUUUGAUGCUAAUAUCAUCAUACACUGACGGUACCACUGAGGGAAGCACCGGCUAACUCCGUGCCAGCAGCCGCGGUAAUACGGGGGGUGCAAGCGUUAUUCGGAAUCAUUGGGCGUAAAGAGCGCGUAGGCGGCUUUUUAAGUCAGAUGUGAAAGCCCGGGGCUCAACCCCGGAAGAGCAUUUGAAACUAAGGAGCUUGAGUAUGGGAGAGGGAAGUGGAAUUCCUGGUGUAGAGGUGAAAUUCGUAGAUAUCAGGAGGAACACCGGUGGCGAAGGCGACUUCCUGGACCAAUACUGACGCUGAGGCGCGAAGGCGUGGGGAGCAAACAGGAUUAGAUACCCUGGUAGUCCACGCAGUAAACGGUGAACACUAGGUGUAGCGGGUAUUUACCCCUGCUGUGCCGCAGCUAACGCAUUAAGUGUUCCGCCUGGGAAGUACGACCGCAAGGUUAAAACUCAAAGGAAUUGACGGGGCCCGCACAAGCGGUGGAGCAUGUGGUUUAAUUCGACGCAACGCGAAGAACCUUACCUGGAUUUGACAUCUCCCGAAGUUCUGAGAAAUCGGAAUGUGCCCGUCAGGGAACGGGAUGACAGGUGCUGCAUGGCUGUCGUCAGCUCGUGUCGUGAGAUGUUGGGUUAAGUCCCGCAACGAGCGCAACCCCUAUCUUUAGUUACCAUCAUCCAGUUGGGGACUCUAAAGAUACUGCCCCGGUUAACGGGGAGGAAGGUGGGGAUGACGUCAAGUCCUCAUGCCUUUAUAUCCAGGGCUACACACGUGCUACAAUGGGCUAUACAAAGGGUUGCGAGCUCGCGAGAGUUAGCUAAUCCCAAAAAGUAGUUCUAAGUUCGGAUUGGAGUCUGCAACUCGACUCCAUGAAGCUGGAAUCGCUAGUAAUCGUGGAUCAGCAUGCCACGGUGAAUACGUUCCCGGGCCUUGUACACACCGCCCGUCACACCAUGAGAGUUGGUUGUACCAGAAGUUGUUGGACUAACCU